Molecule: ribosomal RNA, 626 nt
Filed under: uncultured Russulaceae
Lineage: Eukaryota; Fungi; Basidiomycota; Agaricomycetes; Russulales; Russulaceae
Description: LSU rRNA
Rfam family: Eukaryotic large subunit ribosomal RNA
Source: RNAcentral
UAAGCGGAGGAAAGAAACUANCAAGGAUUCCCCUAGUAACUGCGAGUGAAGCGGGAAAAGCUCAAAUUUAAAAUCUGGUGGUCUUUGGCCAUCCGAGUUGUAAUUUAGAGAAGCGUCUUCCGCGCUGGACCGUGCACAAGUCUCCUGGAAUGGAGCGUCAUAGAGGGUGAGAAUCCCGUCUUUGGCACGGACACACCGGGGCUUUUGUGAUGCGCUCUCGAAGAGUCGAGUUGUUUGGGAAUGCAGCUCAAAAUGGGUGGUGAACUCCAUCUAAAGCUAAAUAUUGGCGAGAGACCGAUAGCGAACAAGUACCGUGAGGGAAAGAUGAAAAGCACUUUGGAAAGAGAGUGAAACAGUACGUGAAAUUGUUGAAAGGGAAACGCUUGAAGUCAGUCACGUCGACCGAGACUCAACCUUGCCUUGGCUUGGUGUACUUCUCGGCUGACGGGUCAGCAUCAAUUUUGCCCCUUGGAUAAUGGCGAGGGAAAUGUGACACCUUUACGGUGUGUUAUAGUCUCUCGUCGCAUGCAAGGGUUGGGAUUGAGGAACUCAGCACGCGCCUUUGGGCGUCGGGGCUUUGCCCACGAUACGUGCUUAGGAUGUUGGCAUAAUGGCUUUAAACGACC